This 465-nucleotide ribosomal RNA is filed under the name uncultured bacterium. RNAcentral's name for it is "partial 16S ribosomal RNA". It matches the Rfam family "Bacterial small subunit ribosomal RNA", at positions 28 to 507 of the family's 1533-position model. The record is from RNAcentral.
GACGAACGCUGGCGGCGUGCUUAACACAUGCAAGUCGAACGCUUAACCCGCGUCUGUGGGGGGUUUGUGGGGAACGGGGGAGUAACACGUGGGCAACCUUCCCCCGGCGCGGGGAUAACUCCAAGGAAAUGGGGCUAAUACCGGCUGUGGCCGCGGGCCGCAUGGUCUGGGGGCUGAAAGGGUUUCCGGCUGGGGCUGGGCGCGCGGCCUAUCACCUGUUUGGGGGGGUAGUGGCCUACCAAGGCGACGACGGGUAGCUGACCUGAGAGGGUGACCGGCCACCAUGGGCCUGCGGCAGGGACCAGUCUCCUACGGGAGGCAGCAGUGGGAAGCAUUGCGCAAUCGGCGCAAGCCUGACGCAACGACGCCGCGUGGGGGAUGACGGCCUUCGGGUUGUAAACCUCUUUCAGCAGGGACGAAGCGCUAGUGACGGUACCUGCAGAAGAAGCACCGGCCAACUACGUG